Molecule: ribosomal RNA, 495 nt
Filed under: uncultured bacterium
Lineage: Bacteria
Description: partial 16S ribosomal RNA
Rfam family: Bacterial small subunit ribosomal RNA
Source: RNAcentral
GACGAACGCUGGCGGCGUGCCUAAUACAUGCAAGUAGAACGCUGAAGGAGGAGCUUGCUUCUCUGGAUGAGUUGCGAACGGGUGAGUAACGCGUAGGUAACCUGCCUGGUAGCGGGGGAUAACUAUUGGAAACGAUAGCUAAUACCGCAUAAUAGCAGUUGUUGCAUGACAACUGUUUGAAAGGUGCAAUUGCACCACUACCAGAUGGACCUGCGUUGUAUUAGCUAGUUGGUGGGGUAACGGCUCACCAAGGCGACGAUACAUAGCCGACCUGAGAGGGUGAUCGGCCACACUGGGACUGAGACACGGCCCAGACUCCUACGGGAGGCAGCAGUAGGGAAUCGUCGGCAAUGGACGGAAGUCUGACCGAGCAACGCCGCGUGAGUGAAGAAGGUUUUCGGAUCGUAAAGCUCUGUUGUAAGAGAAGAACGAGUGUGAGAGUGGAAAGUUCACACUGUGACGGUAUCUUACCAGAAAGGGACGGCUAACUACGUG